Molecule: long non-coding RNA, 1265 nt
Organism: Hipposideros armiger (great roundleaf bat)
Lineage: Eukaryota; Metazoa; Chordata; Mammalia; Chiroptera; Hipposideridae
Exons: 3
Source: RefSeq, a predicted model, not a curated record
GAGGAAACUGCAGCCUGAAGUGAAGGGACUAGCUUAAGAUCACACAGCUUGUUUUUAUUAUUUCUUUUCUUCUAUGUCCUGAACUCUGACCUUUGCCCAUGAGUUCAGCAGGACUGUUGUGCUUUGCUGGGGUCUAGCUCUCUGCGCUGCUGCGUUCAGGGAAUUAUUUAUACCCGAGCCAAGAGCAGGGGUGAUCAUGGGCCUCACUUUGUGUGGUUGCCGUCUGUGGAUGGUUGCAUUUCCUUAAAUGACCACACAUUUCCUAUUCCCAUAUUUUUCUUACAAUGUGACUUCAACAUUCCUCCCACCAAUUGUGGGGUCUGUGUUCUAUCCCCUUGACCUGAGGUUUGUGUCUGCUCCAUCCAAUGGAGUACAGCAGAAGUGAGGCUAUGCAACUUCCUAGUCUAGAUCAUAAAGAGGACACAACUUUUUCUUCUUCUCCUUUUCUCCUUCUCCUCCUUCUGGAUGGAGACCCAGACACCAUGUAUUGAGGCAGCCCAAACUACCCGACGUGAAGAGACCAUGUGGAUAAGCCCAUAUGGAUAACUGAGGCCCCCAGCUGACAGCCAACAACUACCAGACAGGCACAUCCUAAGAUGAAAUUCUCUCCAUCUGGGGCCACCGCAGGCACGGGUGCAGAGGACACAUCUGGAGCCAAACAGCUUUCAAUGGGGUGGAGAAGGAGGGCAGCAUGCCAUGUAAGAGAGGAACUGAGGAGGAAAGGAAGAUGAGAAAGGCAAAGGGGUUUAUUGGAAGAAGCUCAGUCCACAGCCAGGGUAUCAGAAGAGUGAUGGGAGGAGAAUGGCUUUGGAGUAGGGAUUCUCAAAGCACAGUCCGAAUAUCACCCACAGUGAAAAUACUGUGGUGACAAAUUGCUAUAUCCAAUACCAUUAUUUCUUCCUCUGGUGGGAGUGGGGUUAGGGAUGGCAAUGAGGACUUGAAAAAAAAUAAUAAUGGUAAAUACUUGUUCAGAAAUUAACACGUGUUGUGUAUGUGCUGUAGCUUUACAUAAAUCACGUCACUGAAUAUUUGCAGCUUCCCUAUGAGAAAGCUACUAUUAUAAGCAUUCUUAUCUUUAAGAUGAAGAAAUUGAGGCACAGAGAAAGAAUACUUGUCCAAAGUUACAAAUCUAGUAAUGGAGCCAGGGUUCAAACCCGGAAUAUAAGGCCAGAUCUUGGGCCCUUCAACUCUACACUAUCUUGCCUCAAGUCAAAUUUAUACAAUGUGGGCCGGCCCAGUGGCACAUUGGUUAAGAGCUGGCUUGG